RNAcentral lists this long non-coding RNA (666 nucleotides) under Salvia miltiorrhiza (redroot sage). RNAcentral describes it as "long non-coding RNA (SMIL_LNC006629)". The record is from RNAcentral. Lineage: Eukaryota; Viridiplantae; Streptophyta; Magnoliopsida; Lamiales; Lamiaceae.
CUCUGAUUCUCGGACCGGCGACCACUGCUCCGGCGACGCACCGGCGACCCACUGCUCCGGCGAGCUCCGGCGAUCUCCGGCGACCUCAGGUAGGUCCAUUUUUUUUGGUUUUUUUUAGUUAUUUUUCGUUUUUUAGUUGUUUUUUUAAUUUUUAUAGCAGUUUAUUUCAUUUAAACACUAGAUUAUUUUGAUUAUUUCAUAUUUUCUGAAAUUUUUCAGUUUAAGAUUAUGAUUACAAAUUUAGUUGUCAUUUUUUCUUAUUUGUAAUCUGAAGGAGAAGAGGAAGAAGGGUUUGCUCCUUUGGAUGAUGAUGAAGAUGAUGACUACGUGGAUGUUGAUGAGGAGGACUAGCAUUAUUAUCUAUCUAUCUAUUUCUUAUGUCUUAUGCUUGAAGUUGAAGACUUGAACUUAUUAUUGCAUUUUGUUAUGUUUAAACUUUGAACUUAGGAAUAUGUCAUGUUUAAACUUAGGAUAUCAAGUUUUCUAUGAUUUUUCUUGGAUUUUGCAUGUUUUAAUUUCAUAAUUUGCAUAUAUAUAAGUAUAUAUAUUAUUAUUUUAUUAAUCCGCCAUGCGUCCGCCAUAACCCGCCAUGGCACCCGCCAUAUCCUUAUGGCGGUUUUCAGGCCGGACCGCCAUGGACCGCCAUCCGCCAUCGAUAACAUUGCU